UACGGAAGGCAGCAGUGGGGAAUAUUGGACAAUGGGCGCAAGCCUGAUCCAGCCAUGCCGCGUGAGUGAUGAAGGCCUUAGGGUUGUAAAGCUCUUUCGUCGGGGAAGAUAAUGACGGUACCCGAAGAAGAAGCCCCGGCUAACUUCGUGCCAGCAGCCGCGGUAAUACGAAGGGGCUAGCGUUGUUCGGAAUUACUGGGCGUAAAGCGCACGUAGGCGGACCUGUCAGUCAGAGGUGAAAUCCCGAAGCUUAACUUCGGAACUGCCUUUGAUACUGCAGGUCUUGAGGAUGAGAGAGGUAAGUGGAACUGCGAGUGUAGAGGUGAAAUUCGUAGAUAUUCGCAAGAACACCAGUGGCGAAGGCGGCUUACUGGCUCAUUUUCUGACGCUGAGGUGCGAAAGCGUGGGGAGCAAACAGGAUUAGAUACC
Molecule: ribosomal RNA, 429 nt
Filed under: uncultured bacterium
Lineage: Bacteria
Description: bacterial SSU rRNA
Rfam family: Bacterial small subunit ribosomal RNA
Source: RNAcentral